GGGCCCGUAGCUCAACGGUAGAGCGCCAGCCUUUUAAGCUGGGCGUUGUGGGUUCGAAUCCCACCGGGCUCACCA
Molecule: transfer RNA, 75 nt
Filed under: Candidatus Woykebacteria bacterium RBG_16_44_10
Lineage: Bacteria; Candidatus Woykeibacteriota
Also listed under: 3 other names
Description: tRNA-Lys
Rfam family: tRNA
About the family: Transfer RNA (tRNA) molecules are approximately 80 nucleotides in length. Their secondary structure includes four short double-helical elements and three loops (D, anti-codon, and T loops).
Source: RNAcentral